This is a long non-coding RNA of Triticum dicoccoides, 1000 nucleotides long. RefSeq lists it as uncharacterized. NCBI's taxonomy places the organism in Eukaryota, Viridiplantae, Streptophyta, Magnoliopsida, Poales, Poaceae. The transcript has 2 exons. The record is from RefSeq and is a predicted model, not a curated record.
GCGCCAGCCCCUCCCCUCGACCCGCACCACCAGAACAGAGAGCGCCGCUAGGGUUCCAGCGCCGCCGCCGUUCUCCAGCGCCGCCUCCGCCCCCUGCUACACCGCGCCCCCAACCCCUCCUCCAAUGGCCACACCGUCACCGGAAUCUCCUCCCGUGCCCUAGCGCCGCCGCGCCGGCACCACCGCUGCCGGGCACCACCUCUGCCGCCGCCGCCGCCGCAGGGCACCACCGCAGCAGUGCACCACCUCCGCUGCUGCUGGACUACAAAGGAGAGGCAGCAGCACGGCCGUCGGACACCAUCUCCCCCUCUGCCCCAUCUGCCCCCACGGGAUCAAUCUUUUCACCUCCAGGAGCACUGUUGGUCCUGUUGCCGUCGCCAUCGCCGUCUACUACCUCCUCUACGGAUCAUCUAAGGGCGAGCUCGACUGUCAUCCCCACUCCCCCUAUUUACUCUGUUCCGGUCGUCGUGCCAAUGCCACUAGAUUUUACUUUCAUGUUAAGUCGCGUAACCUAGGAGUCUCCCGUUCGAAAGGGUGGCAUUUAUAAAUAUGCAUGUAUUUGCAUAUUUAUAACCGUCGUCCUUUCGAAUUGUCCAUGUUAUCCAUGGACAGCCGGAGUACGUGUAGAUUGGGUUUCGUUUCCCGUGCUCUACUUCGGUCCGAGGCAAAAUUUUGUCAGCGCCUCCCCAUUGUUCUCCGGGUACACAUUCUCUCGGCUUGUUGCCGAGACGUGUAUCUAGAGAACAGCGGGGAGGUGCUGCCGAAAUUUUGCCUCAGACCGGAGUAGAGCACGGGAAACGAACCCAAUCUACACGUACUCGGGUGAGAUUAGGACCCAUCUUUACCUAUUAGAGAUAGGAUUCAACCCAUGAAUGCAUGUUUCUCUUUUGUAUGGUAAAAAUAAAACUAAGGUGUAAAUAAUAUGACAAAAGUAAUUACUUGUGUAUCUUGUCGCAAUUACAUUUUACAUAACUUGAUUAAUAUAAAUUUGGUGUACCUA